UGGGAAUUUUGGACAAUGGGCGCAAGCCUGAUCCAGCCAUGCCGCGUGCGGGAAGAAGGCCUUCGGGUUGUAAACCGCUUUUGUCAGGGAAGAAAUCUUCUGAGUUAAUACCUCGGGAGGAUGACGGUACCUGAAGAAUAAGCACCGGCUAACUACGUGCCAGCAGCCGCGGUAAUACGUAGGGUGCAAGCGUUAAUCGGAACUACUGGGCGUAAAGCGUGCGCAGGCGGUUUUGUAAGACAGAGGUGAAAUCCCCGGGCUCAACCUGGGAACUGCCUUUGUGACUGCAAGGCUUGAGUGCGGCAGAGGGGGGAUGGAAUUCCGCGUGUAGCAGUGAAAUGCGUAGAUAUGCGGAGGAACACCGAUGGCGAAGGC
Molecule: ribosomal RNA, 375 nt
Filed under: uncultured bacterium
Lineage: Bacteria
Description: partial 16S ribosomal RNA
Rfam family: Bacterial small subunit ribosomal RNA
Source: RNAcentral